AUACGGAGGGUGCAAGCGUUACUCGGAAUCACUGGGCGUAAAGCGCGCGCAGGCGGUUUGAUAAGUUGGAUGUGAAAUCCUAUGGCUCAACCAUAGAACUGCAUCCAAAACUGUCAAACUAGAGUCUGGGAGAGGAGGAUGGAAUUAGUUGUGUAGGGGUAAAAUCCGUAGAGAUAACUAGGAAUACCAAAAGCGAAGGCGAUCUUCUGGAACAGUACUGACGCUGAGGCGCGAAAGCGUGGGGAGCAAACAGGAUUAGAAACCCUGGUAGUCC
Molecule: ribosomal RNA, 274 nt
Filed under: uncultured bacterium
Lineage: Bacteria
Description: partial 16S ribosomal RNA
Rfam family: Bacterial small subunit ribosomal RNA
Source: RNAcentral